Armigeres subalbatus is the source of this 868-nucleotide long non-coding RNA. RefSeq lists it as uncharacterized. The transcript is spliced from 3 exons. Lineage: Eukaryota; Metazoa; Arthropoda; Insecta; Diptera; Culicidae. The record is from RefSeq and is a predicted model, not a curated record.
AAAAGUUGUGUUUUUAACAUUUUCUAUAUCUUAUUUUAAAAGUUGAGAAAAUUUGGUAUUUUUGAGUGCUAAAAUAUUUAAUUCAAAUGUAAAAUGCGUGAUUUGACAGUUUUUUUCUCAGGUUGAAAUUGUUAUUUUAACAGUGAGAGCACUCAUAACAACACUUGUAAAAUAUUCGAAAUAACUUUUAUACAUCGUGUUUCUGGCAACAUUGACAACGAAAAAUAAUUCAACUGGCAGCACGUAACGAUCUGUCAAAACUGAAAAUAAAAACUGCAAUCAUAUUCUUAUUUCAAAAGUUUGUGCUAGAGGACAAAAAACAGCAUAAAGGUGCCAUUCUGCUGACCAUGGACAGAAAAUUCAUAAGAAGCAUGAGUCUGGAGAAAGUUUUUCCUGAGAUGGAUUGACAUAUGGGAGUUUGUAGUACAGUAGUCAGCAGGUCAAAAUACCGAAGAAGCUGCCUCUGCUUGGACGAAGCAGAUGCACCGAUUGUCGAUUGCUAGCGUCAACUGCAAAACUUGCUCAAAGUGCUAACCUGUCCGCUCACUGUCAUUAUCAGUCAAAUUAAUAAUCCAGAGAAGGAUCGUUGGGUCGAAUUAAGUGCGUUGGACGUCUUUUACGUGUUCAAUCGAUACCGUAGAAACAACAUCGCUGAAUUGUUUCGCACCGGUGGUGCCUUCUGGAGUCGGGAGAAUGCCUUCCAAUAUCGAAGGCACACUCUUGUUGUAUUGCUGCGACAAUCGGAAAAACUACUCAAGAACAUCAACACAGCGGGAAGAUAUAGAGCGAUACGUGCCAGCUUGUUCAGAUUCAUCGAACGCAUUAAAAAUAAAUACAAGUAGAAAAUAAAAUGAAAACAAAAUAAUAA